UUGGGGCCAAGAAAUUAAAGUUUGGAAGGUUAAAAAAUAAAAAAAAUAAAGUUGAAAAAUUUAAAACCGACUCACCCAAGAAUCAAGCCAGCUUUGGUACGGAACAUCCUAGAUACUUUGGUUUGGUACGCAGCCGAGCCAGCUCAGAAUAGAUCCAAGCCAGCUCUCUCAGGGUGACAAUGAAGAGGUUUUUGGAUUCUACAGAUCGAGCCA
This 213-nucleotide long non-coding RNA is filed under the name Elaeis guineensis (African oil palm). RNAcentral's name for it is "long non-coding RNA (EGUI_LNC074123)". The record is from RNAcentral. Lineage: Eukaryota; Viridiplantae; Streptophyta; Magnoliopsida; Arecales; Arecaceae.